UGCUUCUGUAGCCUAGUGGUUAGAACGUCCGCCUCUGAUGCAAGAGGUCGUGGGUUUGAUACCCGGCCGAGUCAU
This is a non-coding RNA of Potamilus streckersoni, 75 nucleotides long. NCBI's taxonomy places the organism in Eukaryota, Metazoa, Mollusca, Bivalvia, Unionida, Unionidae. The record is from the annotation of a GenBank genome assembly.